GCUAGCUACAGGCUUAACACAUGCAAGUCGAGGGGCAGCAUGGUCUUAGCUUGCUAAGGCCGAUGGCGACCGGCGCACGGGUGAGUAACACGUAUCCAACCUGCCGUCUACUCUUGGACAGCCUUCUGCAAGGAAGAUUAAUACAAGAUGGCAUCAUGAGUCCGCAUGUUCACAUGAUUAAAGGUAUUCCGGUAGACGAUGGGGAUGCGUUCCAUUAGAUAGUAGGCGGGGUAACGGCCCACCUAGUCUUCGAUGGAUAGGGGUUCUGAGAGGAAGGUCCCCCACAUUGGAACUGAGACACGGUCCAAACUCCUACGGGAGGCAGCAGUGAGGAAUAUUGGUCAAUGGGCGAGAGCCUGAACCAGCCAAGUAGCGUGAAGGAUGACUGCCCUAUGGGUUGUAAACUUCUUUUAUAAAGGAAUAAAGUCGGGUAUGGAUACCCGUUUGCAUGUACUUUAUGAAUAAGGAUCGGCUAACUCCGUGCCAGCAGCCGCGGUAAUACGGAGGAUCCGAGCGUUAUCCGGAUUUAUUGGGUUUAAAGGGAGCGUAGAUGGAUGUUUAAGUCAGUUGUGAAAGUUUGCGGCUCAACCGUAAAAUUGCAGUUGAUACUGGAUAUCUUGAGUGCAGUUGAGGCAGGCGGAAUUCGUGGUGUAGCGGUGAAAUGCUUAGAUAUCACGAAGAACUCCGAUUGCGAAGGCAGCCUGCUAAGCUGCAACUGAUAUUGAGGCUCGAAAGUGUGGGUAUCAAACAGGAUUAGAUACCCUGGUAGUCCACACGGUAAACGAUGAAUACUCGCUGUUUGCGAUAUACUGCAAGCGGCCAAGCGAAAGCGUUAAGUAUUCCACCUGGGGAGUACGCCGGCAACGGUGAAACUCAAAGGAAUUGACGGGGGCCCGCACAAGCGGAGGAACAUGUGGUUUAAUUCGAUGAUACGCGAGGAACCUUACCCGGGCUUAAAUUGCAGAUGAAUUACGGUGAAAGCCGUAAGCCGCAAGGCAUCUGUGAAGGUGCUGCAUGGUUGUCGUCAGCUCGUGCCGUGAGGUGUCGGCUUAAGUGCCAUAACGAGCGCAACCCUUGUUGUCAGUUACUAACAGGUCAUGCUGAGGACUCUGACAAGACUGCCAUCGUAAGAUGUGAGGAAGGUGGGGAUGACGUCAAAUCAGCACGGCCCUUACGUCCGGGGCUACACACGUGUUACAAUGGGGGGUACAGAGGGCCGCUACCACGCGAGUGGAUGCCAAUCCCCAAAACCUCUCUCAGUUCGGACUGGAGUCUGCAACCCGACUCCACGAAGCUGGAUUCGCUAGUGAUCGCGCAUCAGCCACGGCGCGGUGAAUACGUUCCCGGGCCUUGUACACACCGCCCGUCAAGCCAUGGGAGCCGGGGGUACCUGAAGUGCGUAACCGCGAGGAGCGCCCUAGGGUAAAACUGGUGACUGGGGCUAAA
Molecule: ribosomal RNA, 1446 nt
Filed under: uncultured organism
Description: SSU rRNA
Rfam family: Bacterial small subunit ribosomal RNA
Source: RNAcentral